This 942-nucleotide ribosomal RNA is filed under the name Xylodon quercinus. Its description in RNAcentral is "partial large subunit ribosomal RNA". It matches the Rfam family "Eukaryotic large subunit ribosomal RNA", at positions 38 to 964 of the family's 3401-position model. Lineage: Eukaryota; Fungi; Basidiomycota; Agaricomycetes; Hymenochaetales; Schizoporaceae. The record is from RNAcentral.
GCAUAUCAUUAGCGGAGGAAAAGAAACUAACUAAGGAUUCCCCUAGUAACUGCGAAGUUGAAAGCGGGAAAAGCUCAAAUUUAAAAUCUGGCAGUUUUACUGUCCGAGUUGUAAUCUGGAGAAGCAUUUUCUGUGUCGGACCGUGUACAAGUCUCUUGGAACAGAGCGUCAUAGAGGGUGAGAAUCCCGUCCAUGACACGGACUACCGAUGCUUUGUGAUAUGCUCUCGAAGAGUCGAGUUGUUUGGGAAUGCAGCUCAAAAUGGGUGGUAAAUUCCAUCUAAAGCUAAAUAUUGGCGAGAGACCGAUAGCGAACAAGUACCGUGAGGGAAAGAUGAAAAGCACUUUGGAAAGAGAGUUAAACAGUACGUGAAAUUGUUGAAAGGGAAACGCUUGAAGUCAGUCGCGUUGUCUGAGACUCAGCCUUGCUUGCAUGGUGUACUUCUCAGUUAACGGGUCAACAUCAAUUUUGGUUGGUGGAUAAAGGUAUUGGAAAUGUGGCACCUUCGGGUGUGUUAUAGUCCUUUGCUGCAUACACUGACUGGGAUUGAGGAACGCAGCACGCCAUUAUGGCCGGGGGUUCGCCUCACGUAACGUGCUUAGGAUGUUGGCAUAAUGGCUUUAAGCGACCCGUCUUGAAACACGGACCAAGGAGUCUAACAUGCUUGCGAGUGUUAGGGUGGAAAACCCUUGCGCGUAAUUAACGUGAAAGUUGGGACCCUUCGCGGGGGCACCGACGCCCGGCCCUGAAGUUUACUGACGGUGCUGCGGUAGAGCACGUAUGUUGGGACCCGAAAAGAUGGUGAACUAUGCCUGAAUAGGGUGAAGCCCAAGGGAAACUUUGGUGGGAGGCUCGUAGCGGAUUCUGACGUGCAAAUCGAUCGUCAAAUUUGGGUAUAGGGGGCGAAAGACUAAUCGAACCAUCUAGUAGCUGGUUCUGCGA